This 403-nucleotide ribosomal RNA is filed under the name Verrucomicrobiota bacterium. RNAcentral describes it as "Verrucomicrobia bacterium partial 16S ribosomal RNA". It matches the Rfam family "Bacterial small subunit ribosomal RNA", at positions 355 to 776 of the family's 1533-position model. The record is from RNAcentral. Lineage: Bacteria; Pseudomonadati; Verrucomicrobiota.
UGGGGAAUAUUGCACAAUGGAGGGAACUCUGAUGCAGCGACGCCGCGUGAACGAAGAAGGCUUUCGAGUCGUAAAGUUCUUUUAUAUGGGAAGAUAAUGACGGUACCAUAAGAAAAAGCCCCGGCUAACUACGUGCCAGCUGCCGCGGUAAUACGUAGGGGGCUAGCGUUGUCCGGAAUCACUGGGCGUAAAGGGUUCGCAGGCGGAAAUGCAAGUCAGGUGUAAAAGGCAGUAGCUUAACUACUGUAAGCAUUUGAAACUGCAUAUCUUGAGAAGAGUAGAGGUAAGUGGAAUUUUUAGUGUAGCGGUGAAAUGCGUAGAUAUUAAAAAGAAUACCGGUGGCGAAGGCGACUUACUGGGCUCAUUCUGACGCUGAGGAACGAAAGCGUGGGUAGCAAACAGG